CCGCAAAGUAAAGUGCCGGGUGAAUCGACCUGGCCGACACAACCCUUUCCGCUCAAGCCGCCGCCGCUCGCUCGUCAACUCCCCAUCACACGACAAGACAUAAGCCGCGUCACGCCCGAAUCCAACAAAUACUGCACCGAACUGUUCGAC
Molecule: unclassified non-coding RNA, 150 nt
Filed under: plant metagenome
Description: partial contains 5.8S ribosomal RNA, internal transcribed spacer 2, and large subunit ribosomal RNA
Source: RNAcentral